UGCCAAUGAUAUAAUUUUACAAUUGCACGUACAAUCAGAUUUUCAGUGAGGUCUGAAAGA
Brassica napus (rape) is the source of this 60-nucleotide non-coding RNA. NCBI's taxonomy places the organism in Eukaryota, Viridiplantae, Streptophyta, Magnoliopsida, Brassicales, Brassicaceae. The record is from Rfam.